GGUUCUGUAGUGAAGUUCAUAGUGAGUUGCAAGCUCAUUGAUGUACAUUAAUCAUGUGCCGGGACCU
This 67-nucleotide transfer RNA is filed under the name Pericrocotus ethologus (long-tailed minivet). Its description in RNAcentral is "tRNA-Cys". Lineage: Eukaryota; Metazoa; Chordata; Aves; Passeriformes; Campephagidae. The record is from RNAcentral.